This 865-nucleotide long non-coding RNA is filed under the name Homo sapiens (human). RNAcentral describes it as "non-protein coding CD27-AS1:4". The record is from RNAcentral. Lineage: Eukaryota; Metazoa; Chordata; Mammalia; Primates; Hominidae.
CACUCUGUCACGUGUACACAGGAAAGGGCCCUGACAAGAGGAUGGGACUGCAGUUGUGGCUGCCAGGGCCCCGGCCAGGGUGAAAACAAGGAACAUUCCAGAGAAGAUCACAAGGAUGCGAAUAAAAUCGGAGCUGCACAGGGAUCUUUGGGCUGAGCUUUCUGUCUGGCUUCCCUCCUGGCCCCUCGUGUAUGCAUUCUCUCUAGCGGUGGGGAUUAAGGAGAAAACUCACGUGGCCAGUGGGUAGAGAGAGUCCGGGCAGGCAGCUGCCUGAAGUCAGCCAGAGUCUGCAUGUGCCCAGCUGUCCUGGCCUCCAGCAUCUCUGGAAAAACAGAGACAGAAUGAGUAGCAGCAGGGGACCCCAUAGGGCACAUCUGAAGGCCUGAGAGGUUGGAGUGCAGUGGCACGAUCUCGGCUCAGUGCAACCUCCGCCUCCUGAGUUCAAGUGAUUCUCCUGCCUCAGCCUCCCUAGUAGCUGGGAUUACAGGACAAGGAGAGGGACAAAUUCCUUCUUGGCAUCCUUAUGGCCCUGUGACCUGCUAAUGAAUGCUGACUCUGAGUUGCUACUAGAAUUUGGUUUCCUUGUGGCUUCCCAGGAAUUGUGAGCCAUGUUGGAUAAGGACCUGCAAGGGAAGAAUGAGGAAGCCUGGGACAGUGCAGGAGGGGAGAGCACUGGUGGUAGAGAGGAGUGAUGACAAGGGUCUCCGCCAAAAGGGAAAUGGAGGGGUUAAAGAAGCUGCUGGGGAGGGUUAAAAACAAUGUGUUCUCACUCGUAGGUGGGAAUUGAACAAUGAGAACACUUGGACACAGGAAGGGGAACAUCACACACUGGGGCCUGUCGUGGGGUGUGGGGAGGGAGGAGGGA